GUUGAACGCUGGCGGCAGGCCUAACACAUGCAAGUCGAGCGAGCGGCGGACGGGUGAGUAAUGUAUGGGGACUUCCCGAUAGAGGGGGAUAACUACUGGACACGGUAGCUAAUACCGCAUACUAUCGGAUAACCCAUAUGGGAUUAGCUAGUAGGUGAGGUAAUGGCUCCCCUAGGCUACGAUCCCUAGCUGGUCUGAGAGGAUGAUCAGCCACACUGGGACGGAGACACGGCCCAGACUCCUACGGAGGCAGCAGUGGGGAAUAUUGCGCAAUGGGCGAAAGCCUGAUGGAGCCAUGCCGCGUGUGUGAAGAAGGCCCUAGGGUUGUAAAGUACUUUCAGUAGGGAGGCGUUACCGAAAGAAAAAGCACCGGCUAACUCCGUGCCAGCAGCCGCGGUAAUAC
RNAcentral lists this ribosomal RNA (403 nucleotides) under uncultured bacterium. Its description in RNAcentral is "partial 16S ribosomal RNA". It matches the Rfam family "Bacterial small subunit ribosomal RNA", at positions 28 to 526 of the family's 1533-position model. The record is from RNAcentral.